This is an unclassified non-coding RNA of Pongo abelii (Sumatran orangutan), 148 nucleotides long. It matches the Rfam family "Metazoan signal recognition particle RNA". From Rfam's summary of the family: The signal recognition particle (SRP) is a universally conserved ribonucleoprotein. It is involved in the co-translational targeting of proteins to membranes. The eukaryotic SRP consists of a 300-nucleotide 7S RNA and six proteins: SRPs 72, 68, 54, 19, 14, and 9. Lineage: Eukaryota; Metazoa; Chordata; Mammalia; Primates; Hominidae. The record is from Ensembl.
GCUAGGAAUGGUGGCAUGUGUCUGUAAUCCCAGCUACUUGGGAGGCUGAGACAGGAGGAUUGCUCGAGCCCGGGAGAUCGAGGCUGCAGUGAGCCAAGAUGGUACCACUGCACUCCAGCCUGGGCAACAGAGUGAGACCCUGUCUCAA